Molecule: non-coding RNA, 115 nt
Filed under: Chloropicon mariensis
Lineage: Eukaryota; Viridiplantae; Chlorophyta; Chloropicophyceae; Chloropicales; Chloropicaceae
Source: RNAcentral
GUGACUUUUUUUGUGGGGCUCCCUCUCCUCUCAGCCAGCAAAUGGACAAGGAUCACCCGCCACGUGUCACUUGUUGUUUUUGGCGACAAUGGCGACGCCAGUGCUCAGAAGCAGC